This 254-nucleotide ribosomal RNA is filed under the name uncultured bacterium. Its description in RNAcentral is "partial 16S ribosomal RNA". It matches the Rfam family "Bacterial small subunit ribosomal RNA", at positions 524 to 776 of the family's 1533-position model. The record is from RNAcentral.
UACGUAGGGGGCAAGCGUUGUCCGGAUUUAUUGGGCGUAAAGAGCUCGUAGGCGGCUUGGCAAGUCGGGUGUGAAAACUCCAGGCUCAACCUGGAGAUGCCACUCGAGACUGCUAUGGCUAGAGUCCGGUAGGGGACCACGGAAUUCCUGGUGUAGCGGUGAAAUGCGCAGAUAUCAGGAGGAACACCAGAGGCGAAGGCGGCGACCUGGACAGGCACUGACACUCAACUACGAAAGCGUGGGGAGCAAACAGG